This 1096-nucleotide ribosomal RNA is filed under the name Nosema maddoxi. RNAcentral describes it as "SSU rRNA". It matches the Rfam family "Microsporidia small subunit ribosomal RNA", at positions 51 to 1223 of the family's 1311-position model. Lineage: Eukaryota; Fungi; Microsporidia; Nosematidae. The record is from RNAcentral.
UGCAUGUUAUUGAAUAUAAAGAAAAGACGAACAGCUCAGUAACUCUUAUUUUAUUUGAUGUAUUAGGACUGUUAACUAUGUUAAAUUAUAGAUAAUAAUAAUACAAUAAGAAUAAGAUCUAUCAGUUAGUUGUUAAGGUAAUGGCUUAACAAGACAGUGACGGAUAACGGUAUUACUUUGUAAUAUUCCGGAGAAGGAGCCUGAGAGAUUGCUACUAAGUCUAAGGAUUGCAGCAGGGGCGAAACUUGACCUAUGAUAUAUUAUUGAGGCAGUUAUGAGUAGUAUUUUAUAAUUAUUGUAAUAUUGUAAGUAUAUAUUACAAGAUAAAUCGGAGGGCAAAUCGAGUGCCAGCAGCCGCGGUAAUACUUGUUCCGAUAGUGUGUAUGAUGAUUGAUGCAGUUAAAAAGUCUGUAGUUUAAAUAAUAAUAAGCAUUGUAAGGUAUAUUGUAUGGUUAGGAGAGAGAUGAAAUGUGAUAACCCUAACUGGAUGAACAGAAGCGAAAGCUAUAUACUUAAAUGUUUUAUUAGAACAAGGACGUAAGCUAGAGGAUCGAAGAUGAUUAGAUACCAUUGUAGUUCUAGCAGUAAACUAUGUUAAAUCAUAGAUAUAUUUUAAAUAUAUAUUUAUGUAAAGAAAUUAAGAUUAUAUUGACUCUGGGGAUAGUAUGAUCGCAAGAUUGAAAAUUAAAGAAAUUGACGGAAGAAUACCACAAGGAGUGGAUUGUGCGGCUUAAUUUGACUCAACGCGGGGUAAUUUACCAGGUAUAACAUGAUAUAAUAUUUUAUCAUGAUAGUGGUGCAUGGCCGUUUCCAAUGGAUGCUGUGAAGUAAUGAUUAAUUUCAACAAGAUGUGAGACCCUCUAUUAAGACAGAUGUAGUGAUACAUAUGAAGGAGAGGAUUAAAACAGGUCCGUUAUGCCCUAAGAUAAUCUGGGUUGCACGCGCAAUACAAUAAUAUUUAAUAUUAUAAGGGAUAAUAUAAUGUAAGAUAUAUUUGAACAUGGAAUUGCUAGUAAAUUUUAUUUAAUAAGUAGAAUUGAAUGUGUCCCUGUUCUUUGUACACACCGCCCGUCGCUAUCUAAGAUGGUAUUAUCUA